UAAUACGUAGGGGGCAAGCGUUGUCCGGAUUUAUUGGGCGUAAAGCGCGUGUAGGCGGCCAGGUAGGUCUGGUGUGAAAACUCGAGGCUCAACCUCGAGAGGUCAUCGGAAACCAUUUGGCUAGAGUCCGGAAGAGGAGAGUGGAAUUCCCGGUGUAGCGGUGAAAUGCGCAGAUAUCGGGAAGAACACCUAUGGCGAAGGCAGCUCUCUGGGACGGUACUGACGCUGAGACGCGAAAGCGUGGGGAGCGAACAGGAUUAGAUACCCUGGUAGUCCACGCCGUAAACGAUGGGUGCUAGGUGUGGGUGGUGUCGACUCCAUCCGUGCCGCAGCUAACGCAUUAAGCACCCCGCCUGGGGAGUACGGCCGCAAGGCUA
Molecule: ribosomal RNA, 377 nt
Filed under: uncultured bacterium
Lineage: Bacteria
Description: bacterial SSU rRNA
Rfam family: Bacterial small subunit ribosomal RNA
Source: RNAcentral